Molecule: ribosomal RNA, 265 nt
Filed under: uncultured bacterium
Lineage: Bacteria
Description: partial 16S ribosomal RNA
Rfam family: Bacterial small subunit ribosomal RNA
Source: RNAcentral
GUCCACGCUGUAAACGAUGGGCACUAGGUGUCGCGGGUAUUGACCCCUGCUGUGCCGCAGCUAACGCAUUAAGUGCCCCGCCUGGGGACUACGGCCGCAAGGUUAAAACUCAAAGGAAUUGACGGGGGCCCGCACAAGCGGUGGAGCAUGUGGUUCAAUUCGACGCAACGCGAAGAACCUUACCCGGGCUAGACAACAGAUGGCCGCCUUAGAAAUAAGGUCUUCCCUUCGGGGACCUCUGGUUCAGGUGCUGCAUGGCUGUCGU